RNAcentral lists this ribosomal RNA (248 nucleotides) under uncultured bacterium. Its description in RNAcentral is "partial 16S ribosomal RNA". It matches the Rfam family "Bacterial small subunit ribosomal RNA", at positions 524 to 770 of the family's 1533-position model. The record is from RNAcentral.
UACGGAGGGUGCAAGCGUUGUCCGGAAUCACUGGGCGUAAAGGGCGCGUAGGCGGCUCAUGAAGGCUGUGGUGAAAGUCCGGGGCUCAACCUCGGAUCGGCCGUGGCGACUCGUGGGCUGGAGCACUGUAGAGGCGGGUGGAAUUCCGGGUGUAGCGGUGGAAUGCGUAGAGAUCCGGAAGAACACCAGUGGCGAAGGCGGCCCGCUGGGCAGUGGCUGACGGCUGAGGCGCGACAGCGUGGGGAGCA